Pongo pygmaeus (Bornean orangutan) is the source of this 802-nucleotide long non-coding RNA. RefSeq lists it as uncharacterized. The transcript has 4 exons. NCBI's taxonomy places the organism in Eukaryota, Metazoa, Chordata, Mammalia, Primates, Hominidae. The record is from RefSeq and is a predicted model, not a curated record.
ACCGACAGCACUGAGCCCUUUGACAGUGCUGGGUGGCUGGGGCCCACGGUGCUCUGGGGCUGUCCCUCCAACCAGGAAAUCUUCAGAGGGUUAUCCACCAGGCCAACUUCAUUCUGGACAGCCAGCUCCGCAGCCUUGGCAGUCGCAAACUCCACCACAGCAGUGCCUACCUUCUUACUGGAAAGCACCAGAAUGACUACAGGCAAACUGAAAAAUUCUGACAAAGGUGUGGAGCCACAGGGAGUUUCAUACAUUGCUGGUUAAAAUAGAAAAAUGCAUAACCACGUUGCAGGACUGUUGGAGUGUUUCUUGAAUAGAAAUUCUUACUAUAGUACUUUAGGGAGCAAAAUCCACAUCAGAAAUUUAUAUAAUACCAAAAUGGAUGACUUCCAGCAGUAAGAGAAUACUCUAUUUCCAGCCAUCAUCCUUUGAAGAAACUCAGGCAGCCUACAGACAAGCAUGUGGAGAGGAAGCAAAACCCCCAGUUUCCAGUCCCAGCGGAAGUGCCUGGUGACCUUCAGCCCUAUUUGACAGCCAUAUGAUUGAGCCAUCUCAAAAGUAGAUGUUCCGGGCCUCAGUUGAAUGACAGCAGCUGAUGCCACCUGCAUCAGGGAUUUUCUGUCCCUACCAAGCUCUUUCCAAUUGCAUUUUUGUGAGCAAAAUAACUCAUUUUUAUGAGUUUAAAGUGCAAAAUUUUGAGGUGCAUUGUUAUGUAGUGAUAGAUAACAAGAUCAUUAUCCCAGCAUCCUAAAAUACUCAAUAAAAAGAGAGGAGCUUUCGAGGAAGACUUCUCAAAUAUCUG